Molecule: ribosomal RNA, 468 nt
Filed under: uncultured bacterium
Lineage: Bacteria
Description: partial 16S ribosomal RNA
Rfam family: Bacterial small subunit ribosomal RNA
Source: RNAcentral
GACGAACGCUGGCGGCGUGCUUAACACAUGCAAGUCGAACGGAAAGGCCCUGCUUUUGUUGGGUUCUCGAUUGGCGAACGCGUGAGUAACACGUGAGUAACCUGCCCUUAACUUUGUGAUAACUUCAGGAAACUGGGGCUAAUACCGGAUAGGAGCUCCUGCUGCAUGGUGGGGGUUGGAAAGUGUCGGCUGUUGGGGAUGGACUCGCGGCUUAUCAGCUUGUUGGUGUGGUAGUUGCUUACCAAGGCUUUGACGGGUAGCCUGCCUGAGAGGGUGAACGGCCACAUUGGGACUGAGAUACGGAGCAGAAUGCUACGGGAGGCAGCAGUGGGGAAUAUUGCAGAGUGGGCGGAAGCCUGAUGUAGAAACGCCGCGUGCGGGAUGCCGGCCUUCGGGUUGUAAACAGCUUUGGACUGUGACGAAGCGUGAGUGACGGUAAUGGGUAAAGAAGCACCGGCUAACUACGUG